RNAcentral lists this ribosomal RNA (253 nucleotides) under uncultured bacterium. RNAcentral describes it as "partial 16S ribosomal RNA". It matches the Rfam family "Bacterial small subunit ribosomal RNA", at positions 524 to 776 of the family's 1533-position model. The record is from RNAcentral.
UACGAGGGGGGCGAGCGUUGUUCGGAAUUAUUGGGCGUAAAGGGUGCGUAGGCGGUUCCGCAAGUCCUGUGUGAAAUCUUCGGGCUCAACUCGAAGUCUGCACGGGAAACUGCGGGGCUUGAGUGUGGGAGAGGUGAGUGGAAUUCCGAGUGUAGAGGUGAAAUUCGUAGAUAUUCGGAAGAACACCAGUGGCGAAGGCGGCUCACUGGACCGGCAUUGACGCUGAGGUGCGAAAGCGUGGGGAGCAAACAGG